GGGCGGUCUUAGCAAGCCGUCCUUAGGGGUCAGCUCAGCCAAUGGUUUGUUCGGCAGUGCCCCCAGGGCGGGGGCAGUCUCCCUCGGUGGGAGUGCUUGGGACCCGCCCCAGUUUGCUCCCUAGCCCUCUUCACCUGUGCAGUCGCCCCUUGACACCUGGCAAAGCUGUACACUGAGGAGGGGACUGAAGGGGAAAAGUUGCAGGAAAUGUCUGGCUCCUGCUUUGCAGCUUCUCACUUUGAGCGAGUCUGGGGUGUUUGGGGUUGACGCCCAGGCGCUCUGACAGGUAGACUCACAGACAGGUAAAGCUGGCCACGCUAGGUCAGACCCUGAAUUCAGGAGACCUUCUGCUGGCAUGAACGUCCAAGUGAAGAUGCUGUGGCUGGGACAUUGUGACCUGACCAUGACCUGACUGACCUGUGUGGACAGCUGCAAGAAGGGAGGAUCUGACACCAAGAAGUUUGCAACAACUAACCAUGCCUUUCUCUCACCUAACUUUAAAAGGGCUUUGAGACCUUUCUCUGCUCCAAACUCUCAACGCUUUCAUGUUGUUUGUACCUUGGGCACAUGAACUUUGUUCAGGAACAAGAUGAUGAGCCAGGCAAGAGUCUGUACCCCUGGCGGGUCCACCUUGGCCAGGGCAGCCCCUUCCCCAAGUUCCCAGCACCUGCAGGAGCUCAUUUUGCCUGGUGGAAUGGGAGGGCCUCUCCCUGACCAGAGAGAAACGCCUUAAGCUGCCAUCCACAUCCGGUGUCACUUGGGAGAUUCAUCAAGCCAGGAACUACAUUUGGAAAGUGGAUCCAGGCUCCUGGGUAUCUCUGUUUUUCAAAACAAAGAUUCAUAUGGAGAGAUGCAAUGUGACAAAGGAGUACUUUUUCCCCACUUCUCCUUUACAGAAAAGAUUUCUUCAGCACAAGAAAAGAAAAUCGAGCCCCUGGAGUAAAAAUUCGGAAGAACAAGAUAGGGGAAAGAGGGGCUAUAAAAGAGGAAUAAAAAAGUGACUAUGGGAGUUCCUGUUGUGGCGCAGCGUCCAUGAGGUUGUGGGUUUGAUCCCUAGCCUUGGUCAGUGGGUUAAGGAUCUGGCAUUGCUGUGAGCUGUGGUGUAGGCUGGCAGCAACAGCUCCAAUUAGACCCCUAGCCUGGGGACCUCCAUAUGCCAUGGGUGCGGCCCUAAAAAGACA
This 1181-nucleotide long non-coding RNA is filed under the name Sus scrofa (pig). Lineage: Eukaryota; Metazoa; Chordata; Mammalia; Artiodactyla; Suidae. The record is from RNAcentral.